GAAUUGCUGAGGAGUCCAACAACAGGACGAAACGGCCUUCCAGUGC
Molecule: non-coding RNA, 46 nt
Organism: Schistosoma mattheei
Lineage: Eukaryota; Metazoa; Platyhelminthes; Trematoda; Strigeidida; Schistosomatidae
Source: Rfam